GAUGAACGCUGGCGGCGUGCCUAAGACAUGCAAGUCGAGCGAACAGACGAGGAGCUUGCUCCUCUGACGUUAGCGGCGGACGGGUGAGUAACACGUGGAUAACCUACCUAUAAGACUGGGAUAACUUCGGGAAACCGGAGCUAAUACCGGAUAAUAUAUUGAACCGCAUGGUUCAAUAGUGAAAGACGGUUUUGCUGUCACUUAUAGAUGGAUCCGCGCCGCAUUAGCUAGUUGGUAAGGUAACGGCUUACCAAGGCAACGAUGCGUAGCCGACCUGAGAGGGUGAUCGGCCACACUGGAACUGAGACACGGUCCAGACUCCUACGGGAGGCAGCAGUAGGGAAUCUUCCGCAAUGGGCGAAAGCCUGACGGAGCAACGCCGCGUGAGUGAUGAAGGUCUGCGGAUCGUAAAACUCUGUUAUUAGGGAAGAACAAAUGUGUAAGUAACUAUGCACGUCUUGACGGUACCUAAUCAGAAAGCCACGGCUAACUACGU
This 496-nucleotide ribosomal RNA is filed under the name uncultured bacterium. RNAcentral's name for it is "partial 16S ribosomal RNA". It matches the Rfam family "Bacterial small subunit ribosomal RNA", at positions 28 to 506 of the family's 1533-position model. The record is from RNAcentral.